RNAcentral lists this long non-coding RNA (1065 nucleotides) under Triticum aestivum (bread wheat). Its description in RNAcentral is "long non-coding RNA (TAES_LNC019029)". The record is from RNAcentral. Lineage: Eukaryota; Viridiplantae; Streptophyta; Magnoliopsida; Poales; Poaceae.
AUAGUACAGGAGCACUAUGUAAAUUACUGGAAUAUAUUGAAACAUACCAGGCCUUGUUAUAUCAACAACAGGGACAUACAAAGGUGUUUCUAAAUUCAGUAAUCACUGAAACAGAUCAGCGUUGCUCGUACUCUUAAAUUAAGAAUACAUACUAUGUAUUUAGAUUCUACCUUUGAGCAGCAAAUAAGGAGUGCAAAUAUUAGCAUGAACCCAGAACUCGCUCAAAAUUACAACACAGCUUAACUGAGCAAAAUCAAAUGGCAGAGGAAGAUAUAAUAUGUACAUAUUAAAUUCCUAUUAUGGGCAUCUGCAAAGGCAGAAGAUCAAUACCCACACAUGAUGAUACUGAAACAAAUUCAUGUAACAUCGUCCAAGAAUGUUAGCUUAAGCAUACCGUGAUAAUCACAAAUCUGACGGUCGUUGGCUCUGGUCCAAUAUCGACACCUGCAAUUGCAGAAGAUCAAUUCUCACAGAUGAUGGUACUGAAACAAAUUGGCAAACGAAAGAAAAUACAUGUUGCAUGUACAGAAGCUGGGGAUAGUUUAUUCUCCAGGAGAUGCUUGACAGAAGUUGUUUUCCCCAUACUUUGUACCAAAUAGAUUUCAGACAAAAUCUGCCCUGCUGCUCAAGAAUGUAAAGCCAUGUCAUUCAAUCUGUUGUCAAUUGAUCCUAAUGGUAAAUACAAAUACAUGUCACUUAAAAAGAUUAUGCCAUGAUAGUUCGAAACAAGAAUACGCCACAAUAGCACAGUGCCAGAAUUAUUUCAUUCUAGUGUCGUAGCUAUACAGUCUGAUGCGAUUCACAUGCAUGAUGUUCUAAUGAGUAGGCUAAUCAAAAUAUAAGGCAAGUAGAAGGAAGAGGAACCAGGAGUGGUGAUGCUGUGCUCAUCUAUACCAUCGCUUGUGAGCUAUGCAGUGGCAGCAGCCCUACAGAGAGGAACGGUUGUGGCCCGGGAACAUGGCGCCUCAAAAGCCAUGUUAUAUGCUGUUGAGGAAGGGCGCCUCUGAUGGUCGUGCUGCGUCACCAUGUCAUUGCCAGUGCCGACAACGGGCCAACGCUGGGAGG